RNAcentral lists this ribosomal RNA (253 nucleotides) under uncultured bacterium. Its description in RNAcentral is "partial 16S ribosomal RNA". It matches the Rfam family "Bacterial small subunit ribosomal RNA", at positions 524 to 776 of the family's 1533-position model. The record is from RNAcentral.
UACGUAGGUUCCGAGCGUUAUCCGGAUUUACUGGGCGUAAAGCGCGUUCAGGCGGUUUGGCAAGUCGGGCAUGAAAUCCUUCGGCUCAACCGGGGGAGGUUGUCCGAUACUGCUGAACUGGAGGGCAGUAGAGGGUGGUGGAAUUCCGGGUGUAGUGGUGAAAUGCGUAGAGAUCAGCAGGAACACCCGUGGCGAAGGCGGCCCCCUGGGCCGUACCUGACGCUGAGGCGCGAAGGCUAGGGGAGCGAACGGG